UUUCCUCCCGAGUGCUUGCACUCAAUUGGAAAGAGGAGUGGCGGACGGGUGAGUAACACGUGGGUAACCUACCCAUCAGAGGGGGAUAACACUUGGAAACAGGUGCUAAUACCGCAUAACAGUUUAUGCCGCAUGGCAUAAGAGUGAAAGGCGCUUUCGGGUGUCGCUGAUGGAUGGACCCGCGGUGCAUUAGCUAGUUGGUGAGGUAACGGCUCACCAAGGCCACGAUGCAUAGCCGACCUGAGAGGGUGAUCGGCCACACUGGGACUGAGACACGGCCCAGACUCCUACGGGAGGCAGCAGUAGGGAAUCUUCGGCAAUGGACGAAAGUCUGACCGAGCAACGCCGCGUGAGUGAAGAAGGUUUUCGGAUCGUAAAACUCUGUUGUUAGAGAAGAACAAGGACGUUAGUAACUGAACGUCCCCUGACGGUAUCUAACCAGAAAGCCACGGCUAACUACGUGCCAGCAGCCGCGGUAAUACGUAGGUGGCAAGCGUUGUCCGGAUUUAUUGGGCGUAAAGCGAGCGCAGGCGGUUUCUUAAGUCUGAUGUGAAAGCCCCCGGCUCAACCGGGGAGGGUCAUUGGAAACUGGGAGACUUGAGUGCAGAAGAGGAGAGUGGAAUUCCAUGUGUAGCGGUGAAAUGCGUAGAUAUAUGGAGGAACACCAGUGGCGAAGGCGGCUCU
This 684-nucleotide ribosomal RNA is filed under the name uncultured Enterococcus sp. Its description in RNAcentral is "bacterial SSU rRNA". It matches the Rfam family "Bacterial small subunit ribosomal RNA", at positions 67 to 728 of the family's 1533-position model. The record is from RNAcentral. Lineage: Bacteria; Bacillati; Bacillota; Bacilli; Lactobacillales; Enterococcaceae.